This 253-nucleotide ribosomal RNA is filed under the name uncultured bacterium. RNAcentral's name for it is "partial 16S ribosomal RNA". It matches the Rfam family "Bacterial small subunit ribosomal RNA", at positions 524 to 776 of the family's 1533-position model. The record is from RNAcentral.
UACAGAGGUCUCAAGCGUUGUUCGGAUUCAUUGGGCGUAAAGGGUGCGUAGGCGGCCAUGUAAGUCAGGAGUGAAAGUUUGCGGCUCAACCGUAAAAUUGCUUUUGAUACUGCAUGGCUGGAAUCAGGAUGAGGUCAGCGGAAUGUGGCAUGUAGCGGUGAAAUGCAUAGAUAUGCCAUAGAACACCAAUUGCGAAGGCAGCUGGCUAGACCUGUAUUGACGCUGAGGCACGAAAGCGUGGGGAGCGAACAGG